This 4151-nucleotide unclassified non-coding RNA is filed under the name Lytechinus variegatus (green sea urchin). RNAcentral's name for it is "uncharacterized LOC121410406, transcript variant X2". The record is from RNAcentral. Lineage: Eukaryota; Metazoa; Echinodermata; Echinoidea; Temnopleuroida; Toxopneustidae.
GUUUCUAUUUCCUCUGUUUAUUCAUGAACUCAUAAAGUGCACAAAAAUAACAGAUUUCUGAGAAGGCUUACAUUGUCAAAACUUUAAAGAGCUAAGAUACAUUCUAUUGAGAAUCCCUGACGAUAGAAGCACAGUUAGUCUUAGUUUUAGACUUUAUAAUGUAGAUUUAUUUAUAUAUCAUUUUGCACUAUGUAUUUUAUUGAUGUACUAUGUUUUCGUUGCACCCUAAGCUUCAUGUCAUGAUGUUAUUGUAAAUAUGUAUAUUUUCUUGUCUGUCUCUUGCAGUAAACCACAGACACACACACACGCACGUACACACACAUGUUCUCACGCUCACACGAUUGACCACACCCAUACACCCGCUUAUGAUACGUCGCACACAAGGUGCAUGUAUAUAUUGAGAAUAAACAUUCAUUCAACUGUACAAGGCGUUGCUUGGAUUUAUUCUUUGUCGUCGGGUGUCGUUGCUGAUGUGCGUUUGAACUUUGUCGAUUCUGGGGUUUGAUUCUGCAGCUACACCUCAAAGUUUACAACUAUUGGACGACCUCAAUGUUUACAACUCUUGGACGCCCUCAGAGUUUAUAACUUCGGACGUCUUUGACUGUGUGUAUCAAGGUGUGAAGAAACGCAGAUCUUAAAAUGGAAGUUGCUGCCGAGAAGGACGACACAAGGUCGACAUCAUCGAAGGCAACAUCAAGGGCCAGUACAACCGCCAGCACAAGGCUGCGGGAAGCGAGAAUAAAGGAGGAGCUUGCAAGGAAAAGACAAGAACAAUUGCUCAAAGAACAAGAACUUAGGAAAAAGGAAUUCGAACUGAAAGAGGAAAUGGAUAAAAUGAAAGCGGAAAACGAACUGGAAAACGCCAGGGCUGAAGCGGCGUUGUGGCAAGAGGCUGAAAAUGAACAAUAUGUAUUAGGAGGUAACAGUAAUUUGCCUCUUUCAGGAAUGCCUGAGCCUGACAUUACUGACAUAGAUCACAGAACGCAGGCAUGGUGCAACCAACAGGCACAAACUCCUGAAGGGGGCAAGGAUAAUGUAAUGAAUGUACAUGCAAAUGAUUUUAUCCCCAAUACAGACAAGGUCGUGGCAGGUGCUCGCAAGGAGCAGGCAGGCCAUGAUGGGGACAAGAAAGGUCCAGCAAAUAAGGUGAGUGAUCUAGGAAUUGCAAAUAUGCUUGCUAUGGCUAUGAGUUUGCCCAAACCAGAUAUACAACCCUUUUCUGGCAAUCCAGUCGAUUACUGGAAAUUCAUGAAUACGUUUGAGGUGAACAUAGGGGAUAAAGUGAAUGAUGACAGGAUGCGCUUAAAUUAUCUCAUACAGUUCUGCACAGGUAAGGCGCGCGAUGCCAUAGAAAACUGCAUCCUUCUGGAACCGAGUGCAGGAUAUGCGCGUGCAAAGUUAAUUCUUCAAGAUCAAUUCGGUCGCAACUACAUUGUCGCCCGCGCUCAUGUUGAAAGAGUAUUGAAACGGUCACAUAUACGGUCUAGUGACAGCCAAGCCUUGUGGGAUCUGGCAAGGGACAUGAGAAGGUGCCAGAUCACAACAUCUCAAUUAGGGUACACUGCUCACAUGAGUACGACAGAAACCUUACUCAAGAUACAGGAGCUCUUACGUGUACACUUACAAGGACAGUGGGCAUCGAAGGCUCACUCACUUAUGGAACAGGCCGUCAUCCCAAAUUUCAGUUACAUGACUGAUUUUGUGGAACAGGCUGCGAAGGUGGCCAGCAAUGUCUUUGGUAAGCACAUUGGUAGGAGUCAGUCUGGUAAACAGCAGCCAGCAAAAUCCUCAACCAAACCAAAAGGUGGUGCAGUUUUUAGCACUGCAAAGGAAGCCCAAACUGCUAAGUGCCCUUGCUGCAGUAUGAAUGGGCAUGGACUAGGUAACUGCGAUGACUUCAAAAGGAAAUCAUCAAAUGAGAGGCACUCUCUUGUGAAACAAAAGAAGCUGUGCUUCAACUGCUUGAAACCGUCCCAUGCAGCAAAGGAGUGUAAAAACAAGGGCGUUUGCAGAAAAGAAGGAUGCGGGAAGAAGCAUCACACCCUUAUCCAUCUGGACUUCCAGCCAAAGGAGGAUAAGAAUCCUGAACAAGGAGAGCUGCAACUUGGGGCCGGGAAAUCGAAUGAAGGUAGCUCCCAUGCCGUUGGUGGCAGAAGGGCAGUCUCCUUAAGAGUAGUUCCUGUCAGAGUUGUUAAUGGAGAUAAGGAUGUUACGACAUGGGCACUCCUUGACAACGGGAGCGACGUAUCGCUUUGUGAGCAUGGUCUCAUACAUGAGCUUGGGGUGGUCGGUAGGAACACCUCCUUCAAGCUGACAACUGUGAACACUGCUUCAUCUCAAAAGGGGAUGGAGGUGUCCUUGUCCAUCCAGAGCCUCAAUGGCGAUGUAGAGUUGGAAAUACCUUCGCUAUGGACCAUCGAUAGGUUACCAACUUCACGUCAGAGUAUCCCAGUUCAAGAAGACGUGGACAAAUGGCCACAUCUUCGGGGAAUAGAACUCCCAAAUGUAGCUGAGAGUGACAUAAGGUUACUUAUUGGCUCUGAUGUCCCUGAAGCAUUCUGGGUAGAGGAAGAGCGAAGAGGUAGGAGGAAGGAGCCCUAUGCAAUUCGGUCUCCACUUGGAUGGACAGUCAUGGGACCAACAAGUUCCAGGUUCACAUCCAGAAAAGGCUCGGUCAAUAAUGUGACCAUUGACAGCCACCUACAGUUUCAGCUGGAAAGGUUCUGGCAGAUGGAUAAGAUGCCAGGAGAUGAAGCAGAUCAACCUGCUGAGUCCACUGAGGAUCGAAGGGCAAAACAGAUGAUGGAAGACUCUGUUACAUUGACUGAUGGGCACUAUCAGUUGGGGCUGCCAUGGCGACGCCAACCUCCCAUUCUCCAACAACGCCAAAAAUGGACAAAAGAAGAAAUUAACUUCAAGACUGAUGAUCUGGUCCUCAUGGUUGAUGACAGUCUCCCACGAGGUCAGUGGCCACUUGGUCGGAUAUGUGACACCUACCCUGACAAACAUGGACGCGUGCGACAAGUAGAGGUGCGCAUCGGGCCUAAUCAAUACAAGAGGCCAAUCUCAAAAUUAUGCUUGCUAGAAGCUGCGAAAUAAAUUACCAUCAUCUGAGCUGCAAACUUAAAUGUCUCAAUCAACCAUCAUUCAAUAUAUCCUUUGUGUUUUUCCUAUUCAAGAACUUGAUAUUUCAGCAAUAAUUUAUGUUGAUGUGGCGGCUCAUUGGCAAUAGUAAGCAAUACUUCACAAGUCCUAAAUCAAUCACUUUACGUGCACGCAGAAUUGUUGAAAAGGGGAGUUUAGUCAAUGAAGAUUUAUUCAAUAGGAAUCUUAUUUCCUUCUUUAGAGUCAAGUUUAUAUGAUAAUUCAAUAAGGAAUUUUUUAUAGUUUAUUAAGCUUGAUCUUCAUUAAAAUAACUGCCGCAUUUAUAAGAAUAUCCGAAAUGAGUCUUUGGUAUAGAGCCUCAUUUGGGGCCGGGUAUGUUGCGGCAGAUUCCAUUAAGUUAUCAAAUUUAUGAUGAAAUGUAGAUUGUUGGUUUAUACUUCAUGUAGCCAGUUAUAAAUUCUGUCGUAGUCAAUGUUUUUAUCUAUAAUUGAAUGUUUCAUUAUAUAUUUUUGCUUUAUAUAGUUAUGCACCCCUCACCCUAUCUAUCUCUCCCUCUAUCUCUCUCUGUAUACUUCCUGUCCACUUAUACUUUACUGUAAUGUAAUAUAAUGUUUAUGGUUAGUAUGUGCAGUGGUAUACCUGCUUGACCAACCCAAGCGCACUAAGUCCAUGAAAAUCACUUUGGUCAAUAGAGAGUCCUUUGUUUCUUGUCUUUGACCAUCCACCUUGGGGGAUAAGCUUGGGCGUGGAGUGGGGUAUGUAAAAGAAAGCCUCAAUUGAAUAGAAGUCAAGAUCAAAGACACACAUGCUGUACUGGUGUGCCUGCUUUUAAGAUCUCAACAUUUUUAGGAAGAUUUUCAAGUCUAUGUCCUGAGGAAAGUUGUCAAAAUCCCAGAUAGCCAAAAGUUGUAAACCACACACACACACGCACGUACACACACACAUGUUCUCACGCUCACACGAUUGACCACACCCAUACACCCGCUUAUGAUACGUCGCACACAAGGUGCAUGUAUAUAUUGAGAAUAAACAUUCAUUCAACUGUA